This 497-nucleotide ribosomal RNA is filed under the name uncultured bacterium. Its description in RNAcentral is "partial 16S ribosomal RNA". It matches the Rfam family "Bacterial small subunit ribosomal RNA", at positions 28 to 507 of the family's 1533-position model. The record is from RNAcentral.
GAUGAACGCUGGCGGCGUGCCUAAUACAUGCAAGUCGAGCGAACGGACGAGAAGCUUGCUUCUCUGAUGUUAGCGGCGGACGGGUGAGUAACACGUGGAUAACCUACCUAUAAGACUGGGAUAACUUCGGGAAACCGUAGCUAAUACCGGAUAAUAUUUUGAACCGCAUGGUUCAAAAGUGAAAGACGGUCUUGCUGUCACUUAUAGAAGGAUCCGCGCUGCAUUAGCUAGUUGGUAAGGUAACGGCUUACCAAGGCAACGAUGCAUAGCCGACCUGAGAGGGUGAUCGGCCACACUGGAACUGAGACACGGUCCAGACUCCUACGGGAGGCAGCAGUAGGGAAUCUUCCGCAAUGGGCGAAAGCCUGACGGAGCAACGCCGCGUGAGUGAUGAAGGUCUUCGGAUCGUAAAACUCUGUUAUUAGGGAAGAACAUAUGUGUAAGUAACUGUGCACAUCUUGACGGUACCUAAUCAGAAAGACACGGCUAACUACGUG